GGGGAAUCUUGCGCAAUGGGCGAAAGUCUGACGCAGCAACGCCGCGUGGAGGAUGAAGGCCCUUGGGUUGUAAACUCCUGUCGGCUGGGAAGAAAUCGUUCGCGGCUAAUACCUGCGGACGUUGACUGUACCAGCAAAGGAAGCCCCGGCUAACGCUGUGCCAGCAGCCGCGGUAAUACAGGGGGGGCCAGCGUUAUUCGGAAUUAUUGGGCGUAAAGGGCGCGUAGGCGGCCAUGCGUGUCUUCCGUGAAAUCCCUCGGCUCAACCGAGGACGUGCGGAAGAAACUGCAAGGCUCGAGUCCAGAAGAGGGGGGCGGAAUUCCCAGUGUAGCGGUGAAAUGCGUAGAUAUUGGGAGGAACACCGGUGGCGAAGGCGGCCCCCUGGGCUGGUACUGACGCUGAGGCGCGAAAGCGUGGGUAGCAAA
This 425-nucleotide ribosomal RNA is filed under the name uncultured bacterium. Its description in RNAcentral is "bacterial SSU rRNA". It matches the Rfam family "Bacterial small subunit ribosomal RNA", at positions 356 to 772 of the family's 1533-position model. The record is from RNAcentral.